RNAcentral lists this ribosomal RNA (598 nucleotides) under uncultured bacterium. Its description in RNAcentral is "bacterial SSU rRNA". It matches the Rfam family "Bacterial small subunit ribosomal RNA", at positions 79 to 673 of the family's 1533-position model. The record is from RNAcentral.
CUUGCUUCUCUUGAGAGCGGCGGACGGGUGAGUAAUGCCUAGGAAUCUGCCUGGUAGUGGGGGAUAACGUUCGGAAACGGACGCUAAUACCGCAUACGUCCUACGGGAGAAAGCAGGGGACCUUCGGGCCUUGCGCUAUCAGAUGAGCCUAGGUCGGAUUAGCUAGUUGGUGGGGUAAUGGCUCACCAAGGCGACGAUCCGUAACUGGUCUGAGAGGAUGAUCAGUCACACUGGAACUGAGACACGGUCCAGACUCCUACGGGAGGCAGCAGUGGGGAAUAUUGGACAAUGGGCGAAAGCCUGAUCCAGCCAUGCCGCGUGUGUGAAGAAGGUCUUCGGAUUGUAAAGCACUUUAAGUUGGGAGGAAGGGUUGUAGAUUAAUACUCUGCAAUUUUGACGUUACCGACAGAAUAAGCACCGGCUAACUCUGUGCCAGCAGCCGCGGUAAUACAGAGGGUGCAAGCGUUAAUCGGAAUUACUGGGCGUAAAGCGCGCGUAGGUGGUUUGUUAAGUUGGAUGUGAAAUCCCCGGGCUCAACCUGGGAACUGCAUUCAAAACUGACUGACUAGAGUAUGGUAGAGGGUGGUGGAAUUUCCUG